UCCCUGGUAGUAUAUCGGUUAGUACACGCGCCUGUCAUCUUUUCGGACGCGCGAAAGCGGGGUUCGACUCCCCGCCAGGGAG
RNAcentral lists this transfer RNA (82 nucleotides) under Trametopsis cervina. Its description in RNAcentral is "tRNA-Asp". It matches the Rfam family "tRNA". From Rfam's summary of the family: Transfer RNA (tRNA) molecules are approximately 80 nucleotides in length. Their secondary structure includes four short double-helical elements and three loops (D, anti-codon, and T loops). Lineage: Eukaryota; Fungi; Basidiomycota; Agaricomycetes; Polyporales; Irpicaceae. The record is from RNAcentral.